This 77-nucleotide transfer RNA is filed under the name Candidatus Komeilibacteria bacterium CG10_big_fil_rev_8_21_14_0_10_41_13. Its description in RNAcentral is "tRNA-His". It matches the Rfam family "tRNA". Rfam says of the family: Transfer RNA (tRNA) molecules are approximately 80 nucleotides in length. The record is from RNAcentral. Lineage: Bacteria; Candidatus Komeiliibacteriota.
GUGAGCGUAGCUCAAUUGGUUAGAGCUUCGGUUUGUGGUACCGAAGGUUGUGGGUUCAAGUCCCAUCGCUCACCCCA